This 276-nucleotide ribosomal RNA is filed under the name uncultured bacterium. Its description in RNAcentral is "partial 16S ribosomal RNA". It matches the Rfam family "Bacterial small subunit ribosomal RNA", at positions 335 to 603 of the family's 1533-position model. The record is from RNAcentral.
ACUCCUACGGGAGGCAGCAGUGGGGAAUAUUGCACAAUGGGCGCAAGCCUGAUGCAGCCAUGCCGCGUGUGUGAAGAAGGCCUUCGGGUUGUAAAGCACUUUCAGUUGUGAGGAAAGGUUAGUCGCUAAUAUCGGCUAGCGUGAUCGUAUGCAACAGAAGAAGCACCGGCUAACUCCGUGCCAGCAGCCGCGGUAAUACGGAGGGUGCGAGCGUUAAUCGGAAUUACUGGGCGUAAAGCGCGUGUAGGUGGCCUGUUAAGCCAGAUGUGAAAGCCC